This 501-nucleotide ribosomal RNA is filed under the name uncultured bacterium. RNAcentral describes it as "partial 16S ribosomal RNA". It matches the Rfam family "Bacterial small subunit ribosomal RNA", at positions 30 to 523 of the family's 1533-position model. The record is from RNAcentral.
AUUGAACGCUGGCGGCAUGCCUUACACAUGCAAGUCGAACGGCAGCACGGGUGCUUGCACCUGGUGGCGAGUGGUGAACGGGUGAGUAAUAUAUCGGAACGUACCUUAUUGUGGGGGAUAACGCAGCGAAAGCUGUGCUAAUACCGCAUAAUCCCUAAGGGGGAAAGCGGGGGACCGUAAGGCCUCGCGCAAUUAGAGCGGCCGAUACCUGAUUAGCUAGUUGGUGAGGUAAAGGCUCACCAAGGCAACGAUCAGUAGCUGGUCUGAGAGGACGAUCAGCCACACUGGGACUGAGACACGGCCCAGACUCCUACGGGAGGCAGCAGUGGGGAAUUUUGGACAACGGGGGCAACCCUGAUCCAGCAAUGCCGCGUGAGUGAAGAAGGCCUUCGGGUUGUAAAGCUCUUUUGUCAGGGAAGAAACAGCAGCUCUAACACAGUAUGCGAAUGACGGUACCUGAAGAAUAAGCACCGGCUAACUACGUGCCAGCCGCCGCGGUAA